This 69-nucleotide transfer RNA is filed under the name Acheilognathus cf. macropterus CBM-ZF-12465. RNAcentral's name for it is "tRNA-Ala". It matches the Rfam family "tRNA". Rfam says of the family: Transfer RNA (tRNA) molecules are approximately 80 nucleotides in length. Their secondary structure includes four short double-helical elements and three loops (D, anti-codon, and T loops). Lineage: Eukaryota; Metazoa; Chordata; Actinopteri; Cypriniformes; Acheilognathidae. The record is from RNAcentral.
AAGGCCUUAGUUUAAUUAAAACAUUUGAUUUGCACUCAGAAAAUGCAAGAUAGAGUCUUGUAGGUCUUA